AGUUAGCCGAUGCUUAUUCUUCAGGUACACGUCAAUUAUUCCUCCCUGAAAAAAGAGGUUUACAACCCAUAGGCCGUCUUCCCUCACGCGGUAUUGCUCCGUCAGGCUUUCGCCCAUUGCGGAAAAUUCCCCACUGCUGCCUCCCGUAGGAGUCCCCCCGUGCC
This 164-nucleotide ribosomal RNA is filed under the name uncultured marine bacterium. RNAcentral's name for it is "partial 16S ribosomal RNA". The record is from RNAcentral.